RNAcentral lists this ribosomal RNA (385 nucleotides) under uncultured bacterium. RNAcentral describes it as "bacterial SSU rRNA". It matches the Rfam family "Bacterial small subunit ribosomal RNA", at positions 274 to 671 of the family's 1533-position model. The record is from RNAcentral.
CGACGACGGGUAGCCGGCCUGAGAGGGCGACCGGCCACACUGGGACUGAGACACGGCCCAGACUCCUACGGGAGGCAGCAGUGGGGAAUAUUGGGCAAUGGGCGAAAGCCUGACCCAGCGACGCCGCGUGAGGGAUGAAGGUCUUCGGAUUGUAAACCUCUUUCAGUAGGGAAGAAGCGAAAGUGACGGUACCUAAAGAAGAAGCACCGGCUAACUAUGUGCCAGCAGCCGCGGUAAUACAUAGGGUGCAAGCGUUGUCCGGAAUUAUUGGGCGUAAAGAGCUCGUAGGUCGUUUGUCGCGUCGAUUGUGAAAAUCUGAGGCUCAACCUCAGACCUGCAGUCGAUACGGGCAAACUAGAGUGUGGUAGGGGAGACUGGAAUUCCU